Molecule: long non-coding RNA, 4491 nt
Organism: Aquila chrysaetos chrysaetos
Lineage: Eukaryota; Metazoa; Chordata; Aves; Accipitriformes; Accipitridae
Source: Ensembl
UAAGGCAGGUGCUCUGCUCUCGCCGCUGCCGGUUGCCGCUUGGCCGCAGCCCUGCCUUCACGCCUUGCAGCUGCCGGGCACGGGAGGAGCUGAUUCCCUGCCGGUGACCGCGGUGUCCCACCGAGCCGUGCCACGCCGGGGAAAUGGGGCUGUGCGGGGUCUGCUUCCCUGCGGCAAUUCUCGUCCUCGCAGCCGCAGGGGUCCGGAGCCGGCAGGCGGGUGAGUGAGGACAUCCCCGUGUCCGGGGAGGUGUCCCACCGUGGGGCGCGCGUGUCCCCGUGGGAGAUGCCGCGCUCCAGCCCGCUCAGCCGGCAUCCCACGUAGCCCGGCUGGGUCUCCGUGCUCUGCCCCGCAGGACCGUGCACCCUCCACGCGCUGGUGGCCCUGGAUGUCACCGACUACCAGCAAUCCAACCUGCAGCCCUACCUGGAGCGGGUCCUGCGGGACCUGACCGCGCUGGACCACCUCACCUGCAGCCCGCUCAACCUGAGCCUCAGCCUGCAGAGCACACAGCGGGAAGGGGAAACCCUCUUCCAGGAGCGGCUGCGGGAGCCCUGGAUGGACGUGCUGCAACGCCUGGCACGGGCGCACGCUUUCCAGCGCUCCUACCUCAACCAGCUCGCCCUGCAGAGCUUCCUCGGCACCCUGGCACGGCAGGCGGCUGAUGCCAAGGUAGAGCACCGGCACAGGCGUGCCCAUCGCUCCCCACGCGCUCCCGCUCUUGGGGGCUGCUGUAGAGCACCGGACCCCUCCUCUCCUUGCCCAGGUGCUGCUGGUGUUCACGGAUGGGCUGGACGAUGACGCGGGGAAGAUGAAGGAGGCGGCAACGUUGGCUUGGCUGCAAGGUGGGACGGCGACGGCUGCGUGGGGCUCGGAUGGGUGAGCCCUGUGAGUGGGGAAAGCUGGCGGGGACCGGGGGGGGGGCCACCCGGCACAGUGUGACACCCCGCAACACCCCGUCCCCUCCAGACCAGGCUGACCUGCUGGUGACGGUGGCGGUGAACAACGUCACGGGGCUGGGGGACCUGCGGCAGAUGGAGUUUGGGAGAUGGCUGGCGAGCGGGCAGCACCUCACCGUGGACAUGCCGGAGGUCGGCGGGCACGUGGCGCAGGAGCUGGUGAGGAUGGGUUGUGGUGGGACGGGUGGCGGGGGUCCCGCGGGCUCUGAGCGGGGUUGCCACCCUCUCCCCACAGCUGGCCCUGGCAGAACGGACGUGUUGCCAGAUGUGUCCCUGCACCUGCGUGGGGCUGCCCGGUCCACGAGGCCCCGGUGGCCCCCACGGGGGGAAGGGGGUGACGGGCAGCAAGGGGCGUGCUGGAGACGAGGGCGAGCAUGGACACAGCGUGAGUUGGCCGUGGGACCCCCAGGGGUAGGAGAGGGUGGCCCCGUGGGUAAGGGGACCCCCGUCACCGCGUUGCCUCUGAUGGCCCCCCCUCCCCUCCCGAGUGCAGGGGGAGCAGGGACCGCGAGGUCUCCACGGCAGCCGAGGGAUGCAGGGAUGCCCAGGGCAGUAUGGACCGAAGGUGAGGGGCUGUCCCAGCCCGGCGUGGCUCUGUCCCGCAGCGAGGGUGCCCACCGCUCCCCGGCUGCUCUCCUUUGUCUCUUUGCAGGGCUUCAUGGGUCACCCCGGGGAGCAGGUACGUCCCUGCCUCGUGGUUUAUCCUGCGGCUCCUGCGGGCACCGAUGGUGGCCAAGGCCACGGACAGCUGGCAGCGGCAUGGAGACCUCGAGGACGGGCAGGGAAGAGAGGGAUGCGGGGAGGGGAAUGGGAGAUGGUCAUGACGGAGGGGUGGAAUGGCCUGGGGUGCUGCGGGAAAUGGGGCAAAGCCAGGACCUGGCUAUUGCACCCCAUGCCGUAUAACCUGGCACCAGACCGUGUCACCUCCUUGCAGGGACCUCCUGGAGAAGCCGGCUAUGACGGUGUGGACGGGGAGCAGGUGAGCUGUGCAGUGGCACAUUGCACCAGCCAGCCGGUGCAACCACCCCUCCAUCCCGGCACAGACACCCAAGUGGGACCAGGCACGGGCACAGCCUCCUCUCUCCCCCCCAGGGUGAAGCGGGGACCCCCGGCCGCCCCGGAGAGAAGGGGUCCCGGGGGAGGCAGGUACGGCACUGCACGGCUGAGCCUCGGCGAAGCGCUGCCUCCUUCGCCCACCGCCUGGUUGCUAAAUCCCUUCCUCCUGCCUUCACUUAGGGGCGGAAAGGUUCCCGGGGUGCCCGGGGGGAGAAGGGUCCCCCAGGCCCUUGCGGCGAGGUGGUGAGUAACGGGCUCGCAGCCCCGCGGCUCCGUGGGGUGCUGGGAGGCUCGCUGAGCACCCAUCUCUGCUCCCCAGGGGCCACCCGGGAGGACAAGCCCCGAGCCCGGCACCCCAGGGUGGAGAGGAGAUGGGGGUCCCCAGGUAAGGUCUGGCAGGGGCCAGGACCAUGCUCGGGGAUGCCGGGUGGCAGCAGUGGAGCAGGCGGCCGGCAGGACCCUUUUGGGGAUGAGAGGUGCAGAUAGGACAGCCAGGAGCUCUGCUUCCCUCUCAACGCCCAUGAUUUCCAGGGAGACCCCGGCCAGGAGGGUCCCCCGGGGCCAGCGGGGCCCCCGGGUCCCCCUGCUCACCCGGUAGGUGCCGCGGGCAGGGGGGCACGGAGGUCCACGCCGGGUGCCCCAGUGCCACGUGCCCCUGUCGUGGGGACACGGCGGCUGAUGGCACUUUCCUCCACAGACCUCAUGCCAGAAAGGGCAGCAGGGAGUGCAGGUAGGGCUGGCAGAGCCCAGGGAUGCGGGGGUCCGUCUGCCCUGGGGACCGGGGACAUCUCCCCGCUGGAGCCUGAGCCGUCCUGUCUCCCUGCAGGGCAAGAAGGGGAACCGUGGCAGCCCCGGCCCCGGGGGACAGAAGGGCUACGGAGGUGCCCAGGUAAGGCCAGGGCAGACCCCGCUGGCACCGGGACGCCCAGGUGGGCAUCGCCGCUGCCCCCUCCAUUCUCCCUUUGCAGGGGCUGCCGGGGCUGCGGGGGACGAACGGUGUCACCGGUCACCCGGGGCGCAGAGGACUUCAGGUGCCAUCCCCCUCCCAGUGCUGGGGUCCUUGGUGGGUGCCGGUGGCCACCCCAAGCUGGUGGCCGUGCCAGUGGGUGCCCAACCCACAGGUGCUUCCCAGCAUCCGUGAUCCGCCUUUGCCUUUCACCUAGGGUCUGCCUGGAGCCGAGGGCUCCCAGGGAGCGGCCGGACCAGCUGGUCCCAAAGGGGACAAGGUGAGGGAUACCACGGCACGGCAUUUCACCGCGUCCCCUGUGCACCCCCAGCCUGCAGCCCUGCUUUCUCUUCCAGGGGCAGGCAGGAGACAAGGGCAAGAAGGGGAGCGUGGGACCGCGGGGACCCAAGGGCACCCUGGUAAGGCUGUGUCCCUCGGGGCCGUGGCAUCCUCCCCAGGGGCACUGCAGCAGUGGAAGGCAUGGAAAAGGGGUGGCCAAAGAAGCUUUGGGAAGAGGGGUGUUUGUGUAGGUCCUACAAUAAUCUGCUUUGGGAUUUUUCUCCCCUCCCAGGGUGAGAACGGGUGUGACCGGAGAGGUGCUCCAGGAAGGAAGGGUGACAAGGUACCGGCAGCACAGAGCAGGGAUGGAGGCGGGUGGGAUGAGCGUGGGGCAGAGCUCCGUCCCUGCCCGUGGGGCUGCCGGGGGUCCCGACCCCGCUCAUGUGUGAUGCUUCCCCCAGGGCGCUCGGGGCCUGCUGGGAUACCCCGGGGCUCAGGUGAGUGCGUGGGGGGCCAGGAGGGGACAUGGGGACCUGACCAGGGCCGGCCAGUCUACGCUGUGGGCUGCUGGUAAGGACACGGUCAGCUUCCUCCGAGUGUCCCCCCCAGGGUGAUGGGGGUGAGAGAGGAUCCCCAGGGGACAAGGGUGCACGAGGGAUGCCCGGGCGCAGGGUGAGUAUGGGGCAGCCCCCUCCCCGCUCCCCCCUGCCGUGCCCACCCGCUCAACUCCUCGGGGUUUUCCAGGGCGAUACCGGGAGCAGAGGAGAAGCAGGCGGCCGCGGCAGUGCGGGACCUCCGGGAGAGAUGGUGACUCCCUGCAAAUUCCCUUUUUCCUACCACAUUUCUGCAACCAUCCCGUGUUGUGCAAAGAGCGGGGAAGCCCCGGUGCUCGGGGAUGUGUUCCCUGUUCAUAUUUCCUCUUUAUUUCUCUCCUCUCCCGCUGCUCCAGGGCCCAAAGGGCUCGCCAGGCAUUCCCCCCUCCACGGUACGGGAUGCUGGCGUAGGGCCGGCUGGGGAUGGGGACCCGGCCUCGAGGGGUGUCCUCGGGGGACAGAGAGGAGCUCGGUGGCCGCCUGGCCCCAGCAAGCCUUGCUGGGUUUGCUGGGAAGAGCUGGGUGGGAGAGCUGGGACUGACGCCGCUUUGUGCAUCCCUCCAGCCUUGCGAGCUCAAGGCUUUCAUCCGCCGGAGCUGUGGUGAGAGCCUGGGAUAGCGGCGGGGAUGGCAAGGAGGGGAUGGGGACCGGCUCGGUG